GAUGAACGCUGGCGGCGUGCUUAACACAUGCAAGUCGAACGGGAAACCUUUUAUUGAAGCUUCGGCAGAUUUAGCUGGUUUCUAGUGGCGGACGGGUGAGUAACGCGUGGGUACCCUGCCUUAUACAGGGGGAUAACAGUCAGAAAUGGCUGCUAAUACCGCAUAAGCGCACAGAGCUGCAUGGCUCAGUGUGAAAAACUCCGGUGGUAUGAGAUGGACCCGCGUUGGAUUAGCUGGUUGGUGGGGUAAGGGCCCACCAGGGCGCCGAUCCAUGGCCGGCCUGAGAGGGUGAACGGCCACAUUGGGACUGAGACACGGCCCAGACUCCUACGGGAGGCAGCAGUGGGGAAUAUUGCACAAUGGGGGAAACCCUGAUGCAGCGACGCCGCGUGAAGGAAGAAGUAUCUCGGUAUGUAAACUUCUAUCAGCAGGGAAGAUAAUGACGGUACCUGACUAAGAAGCCCCGGCUAACUACGUG
This 478-nucleotide ribosomal RNA is filed under the name uncultured bacterium. Its description in RNAcentral is "partial 16S ribosomal RNA". It matches the Rfam family "Bacterial small subunit ribosomal RNA", at positions 28 to 507 of the family's 1533-position model. The record is from RNAcentral.